Molecule: long non-coding RNA, 258 nt
Filed under: Vigna radiata
Lineage: Eukaryota; Viridiplantae; Streptophyta; Magnoliopsida; Fabales; Fabaceae
Description: long non-coding RNA (VRAD_LNC008337)
Source: RNAcentral
GGAGAGUUCGUGAUUGUGCAGAAGCCCUAAACUGUAUGUGGCCUCCUCAACCAUCGAGGUAUGUUUUGAGUCUUUCUUUCUUUGUAUUUAAGUGCUCAAGAUCUAGGUUUCUAUUUAACUACUGCACUUGAUCUUUUAGAUAUAAGGGUAGUAGAUAGAAAUUGAUCAAUAUCUAUUCAUAGAUAUUGGGCUAGUAGAUAGAAAUGGAGCUUCAUAUUUUAGUGGAGUGAUCCGAUGAGCGUAAGUGAGCGACCCGAC